CAGGGAAGUUUGACGUCACAGAAUGGGUACAGGAGGCUAGGAGUUCGAUUUUAACUAUAAAGGGGCAGCAGGAGGUGGUACGUGUAAGAAAGAACAGGAAGUGAAGCAUUUGACCAUUGCAAGAGGGCCUGCAAGAGAAGAUACACACACUUUGGGAAUAGACGGAGCAGACAUACAGCAUCUGGGGACCAGCAGUGGUAUCAGGAAGACAGAGAGAGAAAGACAGCCGUGCACUCGUAGGAUAUGAAAAGGAAGAUGGCUUGAUGAGAGAUGCUGAAAAAUGAGUUUGAGAGAAUGGCAAAAUUAAGAUGAUACUGGAAGGCAGAGGGAGAGAUUCUGAUUUCAGGAACUUUUGCCGACCUUGCCAGCUCACUGCAAUUGUACAGUUGAUGAUUACAGGCGCCGUCCAAGCCCAAACCAUCAGCUCACAAUGUGAACAAAACAUUUUAAACACUUAGUUGCAGCGAGGAGAAAGUUAAUAGCCCGGGCUUAGAAGUCAGCCCGCUCAAGUCCAAAUUACAGGAAAAGACAGAACAAUCUCAACAGCUGCAAGAUCAAAUUCUCAAGCAGCAGGAGGCUUUAAGUAGGGCAAGCCAAACUCUCAAAGACACCAGGAAAGCAGCUGGCAAUAAGUGGCAUCAGCAGGUGGAGAGACAGACAUGGUGGAACCACAGGCGGAGGGUGAACCAGCUGCAGGGUAAAGCUAUGAAGUCUACAAGUUGGGCAGCCAUGGGGUGAUUCUGCAGGAGGGGAUGAGAAUGAAGGAGAAGAAUUCCCAGGGAGAACAAGAGGAGAUGAGGGGGAAAACAUUACAGCAAACCUCUUACAAAGGAGUUCUCGAACAAUGACAAUAAUUUACUUUAAACACUGAUUUUUAAGUGCUUUUUUUUGACUAAUCAUUGAAUUCUUUUAGGUGUUUAAAUGGAAUUCACUGGAAAAGGUGAGUCAUGUUUUGUCUGUGUUUAAAAGAGGAAGUGUGUGUGUUUAGCCAAAGCGGAUGUUGUUAGGAUGUAUUAAAGAUAAAUAGGGAGGCAUAGAUGAGAGAUUAUCUGUCUUAGUAGAUGCAAAGGUUUUUUUUUAUUUUUAAACAAAGGUGCUCAGAUUUGUGUAUAUAUUUUCCUUUAGAGGUGGUAUGUGUCUGUGUUUUGUGUGUGUGUUUAGACUAGAAGGUGUGUGUCCUCCCUGACCCCUCCCGCAUCUUUACCGCCACCCAUCUGUUUACUGACUCAUGAAAAAUUCAUGAGUGUGUGUUUGGGAGCAGCGGAAUAAUUUUCAAUAUUUAGCCAGGCUAUGAAUACAGAUGAUGUUGAACUUUGGUGUAUUGCGGUGGCGUUUGUGAAGGUGUUUGGGUGCGUAUGAGUGUAGCCGGUAUCAUGGCAGGCUGAGGUCAGCAGGCUUAAUGAGGGGGUGAGGAAGCAGCGGGUCCACACGCAUGUGCUGAGUGAGACGUGUCGCCCAUAGGAGACAUGUGACUGGACCGGGCGGGCGGGAAAGACGGCAGCUCCAAAGCCAACUGCAACUAAUGCAGCAGCAGGUUCAGUCCAGGAUCAAAUCUUUGGAUGCGUCAAGGAGCUCCAUGUGAAAGGAAUUUUGAAUGAUGAAUGAAGAUACUUUGGGACAGUAUUUUUCUGUGCUGUCCUAAAGGCCAAGGCAGAAGUCUGAAUUUUAAGAGCAGAAAUCUCCAGCCCGAAGACUCUAUGUCCAGAAAGUCAGCCUUAUGGAACACCCUGAAGAGGCAAUGGACCAGCUAACCGAAGAGCUCUGGAUGAAUCUGAAGGGCCGAACAGGGAAAAUACACCAGUGCAAGGAAGAAAUUGAGAGAUUAAGACACAAAGUGGACAGCCACCAAAAAUGAGGAAAGAGGAGCUGAAGUUGAGCAGGUGUACAUAAAGUUGACCCUCAGAAGUGAAGUGGUGUCUGUGGAUGGCUUGCAUGAGAAUUAUCAAAAGGCAGAAAGACUCAUCAAACGUGGUUUAAGAAAGAUAGGCCUUGAGGAGCCCACCUGAGCCAGACAGAUGCUGGACAUCAGCCCUCUUCACACGGACACUGUUGCAGGGGCUGUUAAUGUGCUAUGAAGCCGACAGAACAAGAAAAAUGCAGAUGCUCCAGGUAAAACCAUCCAACUCCCCGCUUCUAGAAAAAUCUAGCAGAAAGAGAUGAAGCCAAAGAGCAGGUAAGAACGACACACGCACAGCUUCUGUCCUCUUACACUCUCCAAGUGUGACACCCCAAACAUCCAUAAAGGCCAGCGGAGUCUGUUCCUACACUUCUCACUCACAGCCUUAAAGGUCAGCUAUGUCCAAGUCCCAGCAUUUAUGAAUCACACACACACACCUACCAACAUACACACACAAGCAUGUUCUCCAUGGGGCCGUGACCGUGGCUUGUUUGUUUAUUUAUUCAUGCACUUGAAGGCCCUGUCAGCAGGCCGGUUCUCCUCGGCAGGAGGUGAACUAGAGGAUUUGCAAUGUUCUCGGCUCUGAUUAGCAGGGAAUGUCAUGUGACAGCACAAGGAUUAUCUUGUUCUGGUAUGAGAGGACUAAAUGUGGAAAGGUACUUUAGAGCCUUAAUUCCAACAUGUAAUAUUUCAUAAUGUCGUACAUGUGGGUCUCAGAUUGGAUAACUGUUGUCAGGUAGGCGCUUCACAAAGCCUGAGACUUCAUUAAUCCAGGUCUCUGCAAGUUCCUUUGAAAUCAUUUAAAUUCCCUUCAACUCCUUCUGUCUUUUUCGUGGUUAGAAACUUCCAGUAAUAAAUAAUUAAUGCUCCUCUCUUUCUUUUUCUCCCUCUCUUUCUUUUCUUUGAGGUGUGAGGUAAGCUAAAUACACCAGUGAGUUCACAAAGGUAAAGCUUGUGGUAGCUUAACCAUGACUGGGAGAGAUCGGGAUCAUUUUUAUGUGUCGUUUGAUCUGUGAUGGACCCUGCAUACGCUCGCUAAUUACGGCGGGCUGAGACAGUGUCAUAUCGACCACCCAGCGCUCUCAUCACCUCUGUAAGAGAGACAGAGAGUGAGCGAGAACCAAGAGAGAGAGAUAGAGUUCUAAUCAGCUACCUCACACCUUCACUUCACACAUCUCACACAGCAACACUCUCUCGUUUGGGGAAAAAACAGAUAUUUAUUUACCUCAUUGCCUUUGUUUGAAACCAUUCUGUGCCUCCAUCGAGCACACUAAAGCCUGUUUCACACCACAUGUAUAAGCAACAUAAGCAAUGCACUUUUAUUUUGGCAAUCAUAUUAACAGGUAACAAUUCACAAUGCUAUGUAGUAUCAUCUCUCACAAUACAGUAGGAGUAAAUUAAAUAAUAGGGCAAACUACUUGCCCAUAUAAAAGAGUUAGUUCACCCAUAAAAUGACCUCAUUACAUUCCAAAAAUGUUCUUCAGUGAAAAGAUAUUUUGAAAAGAACAGAUCCCAUUGACUUAAAAAAAGGUUAAAUGCUAUAGCUAGUAGUUCUAGAAAUUAUAUGAAAUCAUAUAAAAAAAAUUGUAGCAAACUAUUUGCCCAUAUAAAAGGGUUAGUUCAAGGGUUAUGUCAUUCCAAAACUUGUAUUGCUUUCUUCAGAUCAGAACAUCUACAGAUGUUGAUUUGGACCCCAAUGACUGUCAUUAUAUGAACAAAAGCAGCUUUUUUUCCCCCUUCAUUUUUUGGCCGAACUAUCACUAUCAACAAGAUUCAUAGCAUGCAUGUAGCAUUAGCCUUCCUACAAUUGCAGCAUUGACCCUAUUUUUGUGUAAAAUACAGAGAAAAUUCACUGGUUGUCUUUUUAUCAACAUGAUCUUUAACCAUAUUUGAAAUAAUGUUAAAAAUGGAGCCAAUUACUUAACCAUAUUAACAGGAUUUAUAGCAGGGAUGUAGCACUAGCCUGAAUUCAACAGCUAAGUUUCAGUGCUAGUUUCAGCGCUAAACUUCUUUUUGAGAAGAAUAUAGAGAAAGUGCUCUGUAAAUCUAUCAACAUGAUCUUUCACAACAUAGGCUAUAAUGAAGUAACUAAAUGAAUGAACACAUUUUAUUUGAAACAUGCUAAUUCCACUUGCUGCAACAGGCACACAAACAAUUUCUAUUCAGUAAAUCUGAUCUGAUUUAACUAGUUUAUACAACCCGAUCUCAUGAAUGUAAUGAUGUGACGAUAUCAUAUGAAUAUGUACAAUGUGAUUUGUAUGGAAACUUUUUUUUAUUUUUUAUUAAAGUAAGUGUAAAGUAAUAACCUAACUAUCAGUGGAGCAUAAGCAGAUCGCAUAGAAACAUACAUAUGAGAUUGUACAAAUUUAUAUGAAAUGAGUGUGUUUAUAGGUUCAUAUUGUGCUUUUCAGUUCAGUUCCAUGUAGAUUAAUUACCACUUUGGUGGAAAUGUGAUACAAAUUUGAUUUCACAAUUAUCAAGUAAUAAUUCUCAAUGGCGUACUGCCACUUUCUAAUUCAUGUCUGAUUUUAAGCAAAUACUCAUGAUGUUGUGGUAACGUGGCAUUGAUGCUUACACGCUCCUUGUGUGUGUGGUGUGAAACGGGCCCAAUUGCUGUCAAAAGUAAGGUUUUAAAUAUUCAUCAUUAAUGCUAAAGCAGCUCUGGAUUAAGUGCUUGUAGAUUUAGCAGCACUAGUGAUGCCCAGCGCAGACAGGCUCGUUGAAUUUAUUCAAUCCAUUUGCUUCCUCUUUUAUUUCAAGCAAUCCAUAGCUGUGUUUAUUUUAGGUAAAAUUGCCACCUACAUUGCAAAUGAAUCACGUCAAGCAACCCUUAAAAAAGAUGAAGCAUCUCCGGUUAUCCGAUCAAAGCUUUUAAAUAGUAAAAACAGCAGCUGGCUUUGUCGGCAGCCCAGAUAAAUCUAUAUUACAAAUUGCUUUUGUGAGAACUGGAUGAGCAGCCGAUUUUUUUGUAUUGAACUUUUGUCCUAUUCAGUGACCACAGUGGGAAAAGGAUACUGAUCCGCUAGCAGGAUCAAUACAGACCCGGAACGCUCUCCAGCUCUCAUUCUUCAACACACACACACGUUUGGUGGGAAUACUUUAAACACACAGAAGGGCAAAAUGGGCAGGUGGUUCACCAGACAGUGUCGAGUGCCCUCUCUCACUCUCAUUGUGCGAGUACGUGUGCAUUUUUUUUUUCUUUUUUUUUUGUCCCGUUCAUCCGUCAUGCAAGCGGCCGCUGGGAUAAUGCACAUCAUUUUAAACACAAUCAUCUCCAUUCGUGUUGCGGUUCACGUGAGUCGCCUCAUUACAUGUAAUAGCUUGAUGAGAUGUGUGUAUGGAUUCAUAACAUUAAAAUGUCAAAGGAAUUUUAAAGAGUCCAUUUCUCGCCCUCUUUCGCUCCUGUGUGAAAUGAAGCAGUUUGUGUAGCCGUCUCUCUCUCUGUCUCUCUCUCUGUCUGUUGCUCUGAUGGCAUCAUUACUCCUAAGUGCCCACCCUGGCGCAUCAGCUGUCAAAUUAGCACGCUGCGUUUUAAUGAUUCACCUCAUCUACCAAAUAAAGCGUACCCAUUGGCUCAUUAUUGAUCUUCAUUUACCCUGAUUGGUCCCACUCGCUGGAAUGGUACCGAUUAAAAAUCCUUUGGAAACGCACAGUCGGCUGAGAGAUGAUGGGUGAAAGCGGGCGCAGGGGGGGAUAGAGAGGCACCGGCUAAAUGCAAACAUGAUUGGCAUGUUCCCGGUUGGUGCGGCGGUGUCACAGGUCGCAGUGCCGUGUUUCCGCGUCCUUCAGGCCUCUAUUACUGAGCCGAAUGCAGCGGGCUUAUGGCCAUCAUAAAACUACAGUCCCUCACCGUAAUGGCCAUUGACAUUAUCAGCACAGUCAUUAUACACACUCACAGCAAAGUCACUGCCAGACAACAGCAACUGGCAAUUUGGAUAAUUUGACUAAUUUAAAAGCUUUUAAAUGAGGCUGACUGUGCUAUUGAAGGUUUAAUUAACUAAUCGCAUUAUUUAGAUGUGGUUUCCACCUUUUUAUGUUUUAAUUGAUAUAGUUUUUGAAGUGCACCUAUGCGUUAUUUGGUUAAAAAAAAAAAAAGCAUGCACUACCUGCUUCGUAAUAAUGCUGAUUUAAUGCCGCAUGCGCUAAAUGCAACCUCAGCAGAUUGAUGUGUUUUAAUGUAAGCGUGCAUUUUCCGCAAUAUUGCUCAUCUAAUGGUGGAAAGGACGAGACACUUUUCUGCUUUCCUCAGACACUUUAAUUAGCGGCUCCCAUUAAAGGUAAUACACAUUUACCAUGAACGAGCCCGCCAUCCGCAUCAAGUGAAUGCGUUUCGCUCCACCAUCCGAUGCUUUCUAAAUGAGAUUCUGGAGGAAGGAAAAGAAUAAGGACGAGAGAAAUAGGUGAAGAUUUGUAAUCUCAAGCAUGAAAAUAAUAUUCUCAUUCUCUCUUUUUCCCCAAUGUGUUUUCCAAAUUCAUUUAUAUUAAUGUCACAAAUCUCUCAAGACGAGGGCAGAUGUUCUCCCACCCACGUUGCACCUGUGGGACCGGUGUUUUAAUUUAGCCUGACUUCACUGCAAUAAACUUUUAUAUCAUUCUUUUAUUAGGUGUUAAUAUUACACUACCUCUCUGCCUGCUACGGCUUUAUCGAAUGACUUUAAUAAGCACUACAGGCCUUUUUGGACUAGCAAAGUGCAACACUUAGCUUUUGCGAUUUCUACAUGUAUGCUAACUUUAUUGUUGCUCUUGGUGUUUAACUGGCAGAUGCGUUAAAUACGGUUUGUCUAGCCAGGAUUCAACUUGCAAUAACUUACUGGUGAACGUUUGCCGUUCAUCUUAUUAGUUCUUUAUUUUUGUGGUCUGUUACUAGGAAGAAUAUCAAAUCCCUGUUUUUGCUGGUAACUUAAAGUAAUUAUGUUGUUCAAUCAUGAACAAAUGAGUCUAAUUAAAACAGUGUUGUUUCUCUCUUCCAGGGCAUUUUUGGUCACUAGCUUUUCUGACUGAAAACAUGCUGAAUGCACUAGGUCGUGGUAUAAUAUAUAUUACCUGGAUGCCCACAAUUCUUCCGCACCCACUGGAAACACAGGCGGAGCUGUACGUGUCUGCUAAUCUGUGACGAGUUUCUUUAUUCUCUCCUGGGUGCAGAGGCGAGUGUAGCUUACAGCAACAGCUGAGGCAGCUUCAGAAAGCCUGAAAGAGCAGCAUCCAGAGAAUGUUCAACUCACAAACGCACACUGUACACCUGUGUGUGGGCUGCCCUCCAGGCCACAAACACAACCUAACCCUGACAUUUCUGAUGAUUUUGAAGCUUGGCCACUAAAAAGCACUAGACAUGGGGUUGAAACUAAGAACAUUUGUUCUACAUUAGUCUGUACCGUCUGCUUUUGUUUCAGGAGAGUCAGAGAGCAAAAAAGAGAAAAAUAACUCCUAAAGAAAGAAGUUUUAAGCUGACACCAAUAUACGCUCUCACCGGGACUUGUUGUGCACUUGGAGCCCAGUAGAAAAUCAGGAUCAGGAGCUCUGUAAUUGAAUUCACCUGAUUAGAAUUCCACCCCCUCGAGAGUGCGGGAGUCUCGUGUAUGGUUAGCAUAAUAAACAAGAAAAUCUGAGACAUGGGAAUGCGGGAACCACUUCUUCCAAGCAUACUGAAUCAAUUAAUAGCAUGUAGAAGGAAACCCUGAUUAUGUGAGCAGAGAGCCAGGCCAGCGAGAGAGGAGACUGGAUUCUGGGCAGAGCUGCAGCGGUUAAGCUGGGCCCCGGAGGAAUCCCACAUAGACACCGUUCACCUCUGCCAGGAGUGCGCACCGCUGGUCAGCAACCUCAGUCGCUGGAUCAAAGAGCAGAAGUAGAUAACUGGCAAGCUAUUGGGCUCAUGAAUAUUUAUCACGCUGUCUGCACUCACCCAAAGUGAUUUGCUGAAGUCAAAAGAUGGGAAUAAUUUGUAACAGAUGAGGCCUAAACUUUGGAGAGAGAGGUAGAUGUCAUGCUUUCUGGAAUUUACGUUUUCUGGAUCUAGUUUUGCUGUCUGAAACUGGAGUCAACGGCCAACUGAAGCACUCUGGCUUUAGUUUUUCUCUUCUGCAGGCAAGCUGAGAUGCCUUGGAGGAGGCACCGAGGACCCUUAGAGCUCAGCCAGAUGAGAAGGAGGCCAAGCAGUCAUGGUUAAAGGCCAUCCACAGUCACUCUUCUAAUCAGCAACCACUUCUUAAUCAGCUAUGAGGUCGUCUGGAGGUGGACGAGAGUCGGCAUGAUAAUCUGGUUGCCUGUAACUUCAGUCAAAUUGAAGAGGUUCCAUCAAAGCUGAAAUCCAAUAUGGAGGCUGUUAAAGUUCACAGACAGUGUAGGUAACGAGGAGCUGGUGCGUGUCCAUGCAGCUGUGCAGCAAAAUAACCAGAAGAACAGGAAGCUGGAGACGGAGAGAAGUCUACAACACAGCUGGAACGGCAGCUGUUAGCAGGCAGUGCACAACUCUCUAUCUCACCCUUCUCUCUCUUUUCCCAUGAGUCUUCACACCCACCACAGUUACACACGGCUCUGACCUGCCACCACGUACAAGAAGAGAGAGAAACGUUGCACCUCAUCUGAACGCGGCCUCCUGGAACCAGAAACGAGCUGUUGACACACCUGUGAGAAAGCUCUCAGACAUGCAGAGUGUGAUGUAACCUGUCCAUGAAGUGACCCAAGUGAUUCAGAACCUGAUUCAGAAGCGACAGCUCAGGCAGAGAUGGUCACCCCUUUCCCAGCAGCCCCUGCUUCUGCUCUCAUCAACUCCACUGCCCACUGCUGACAAAAUGGGCUUAUUUGACUCCUCACCCCGUGGCACAGAUGAAUAAUUCACCUCGCUGCUGCACUGCUGGGGAGGCGCAGGCAGGUUUGCAUUUGACAGAGCGUGGACAGUGGAUUAUGGGAUUGCGCAGAGGUUCUCCACUCCCAGCCUGUCCAAGAGAAAGGACUUCAAAACUGCAGCUGGGCCCGUUGAAGCCCGGCUUUGGUAGAAACAAUGCUGCUGGUACUAUAGCAAGGAUUUUGUAUGGAAAAAAGCAGAUUUAAGUACUAUAAAAGUCAUACAAUGCUCUUUUUGUAUCAAGACGCAACUCUGAAAACAUAGACAUAAAAAUGACUGAUCCAGUUAGUCUGCAACACACUUAACAUGAACACUGUGUAAUGUUAGCUCGGUGGGCAAAACCUAGCAAGCUGUCUCAGCUUACUUCCAGGGCGGCACCUUAACUCUCAUGGAACCUCAUAAGUUAAUGAUUUCAAACACUCUACAUAGGCAGCAGCUCCAGAUGCCAUAAAAAAAGUUGAUUUCAGUAGAAAUUGAUAUUAGUAUGCUAAGCUAACAGAGCUAUACUUUUAUAAAAAUGCAUCACAAUUUGUGUAUACUUAUGCACUAUUAUGUGCCAGUUUGUAGUAUAAAUGGUGAGAGUGGUAUGUUCUCACUGAAAAGUCCAAAAGGAAAAUGCGCGCUUAAAACGAAUCGUGGAAUUUUGGACACUUAAUGGUUUCUUACGUAGCAGAAGGGGAGGGGCUAUCAGACUCGAGACAGUAGAGUGCAUAGUGUAUAGAAUAGUACAACUAUAGAUCAUAACAGUAGUGGAACGGUUCCGAAAGUAAAAAAAAGAAGAAAAAAGAUCCAAUGCUGCAUUAGAAUUUGAAUAAAAUGGGGAAUGUUAAAAGAAAGCACACUUAAGAUUUUUUUUGUUUGCUUGUUUGUUAAGUGUUAACAAUGAGAUUAUGUGGUUUUUAUAAUCAAUUAACACUGCUUUUGUCACUUUUUACAAGAUGGACAAAAUUUGUCACUAAAAAAUCAUUCAGUUUAAACAAAAUUUCGGUUUUACCAAAUGACACAUUUGGCUAUACCGGAUGACGAUAUUUUCAAACAAUGCUAAAAGGCUAAUAUCUAUCUAGCUAGCUAACAAAAGGACAAUCAAACAUUUUAUAUUUAGUAAGUUUUUAAAACAUAACAACAUUUUCCAUGUUUUAUAGUGGUUGUACCGAAUGACCUGAUGUUUCGGGAC
Molecule: long non-coding RNA, 9912 nt
Organism: Megalobrama amblycephala (Wuchang bream)
Lineage: Eukaryota; Metazoa; Chordata; Actinopteri; Cypriniformes; Xenocyprididae
Exons: 25
Source: RefSeq, a predicted model, not a curated record